AAUGACAUGUUAAUAUUAUCUAUGACUUAUAAUAAUUAUAUUUAUUUUGUUAUUUAUUUUUCAGUUACAUUUUAAUCUAGUUCAGAUGAACUCUACAGUGUUGUAGCCUACAUGUGGUCCAUGGACCACGGGUUUGACAUUUCUGUUAGAGAAGAACCUUUUGAAUUGACAUCCCAUGGCUUGGGCAUUGCAAGACAUUUGGACUGGCACUGACUAAAUAAAUUGAAGAAGACAUUAACA
This 240-nucleotide long non-coding RNA is filed under the name Monodelphis domestica (gray short-tailed opossum). RNAcentral's name for it is "lncRNA (ENSMODG00000037258.1)". The record is from RNAcentral. Lineage: Eukaryota; Metazoa; Chordata; Mammalia; Didelphimorphia; Didelphidae.